This 258-nucleotide unclassified non-coding RNA is filed under the name uncultured fungus. Its description in RNAcentral is "partial contains 18S rRNA, ITS1, 5.8S rRNA". The record is from RNAcentral. Lineage: Eukaryota; Fungi.
GCAGAAGGAUCAUUAGUGAAGAUUUGGGCAGGCCAUACGGACGCCAAAAAGUGUCCCUGGCCGCCUACACCCACUGUACAUCCACAAACCCGUGUGCACUGUCUUGGAGAAAGGCUUCAGAGAAGUUUUUUGUGGCCUCUCUUGGGGUCUUUCUUCGCUACAAACUCGAAUGGUUAGUAUGAACGUGGAACUUGGUUGGACCGUCACUGGCCAACAAACUAUACACAACUUUCGACAACGGAUCUCUUGGUUCUCCCA